RNAcentral lists this long non-coding RNA (431 nucleotides) under Capsella rubella. Its description in RNAcentral is "long non-coding RNA (CRUB_LNC003910)". Lineage: Eukaryota; Viridiplantae; Streptophyta; Magnoliopsida; Brassicales; Brassicaceae. The record is from RNAcentral.
AUAGCUUAUCCUUAUCCAUACAUACGGAUGGAAUGAGGACUGAAUACGGAACUGGAUUAUUUUUCGUAACCUCGGUCAGACUGUAUACGGGCAUCGCAAGUAACGCUUCUGAUUCGUCCUUAGUCCUAGGGGGUUCAGGGGUGUUACCUGACCCCUAAAAACUAUACUAUCGGUAACCCUUUUAAAACUUAUUUAGAACAAUGAACUUGCUUUGUUACAUUAGUAACUCACACUAGUUGAAUCCUUCGCAACCCCAAAAAAAAAAAAACUCAAAAAAACAAUAAUUCUUUUUCACCAAAACACAACAUAAUGUAAUUAAACAACAUCAUUUGGUUAUUUGCUACACUAAUAGCCAUCAACAAGAAAACACAAACUCCAAUUUGUUUGAUACAUCAGCUUCCAAGCACCUCACGUUGUCCAUCGACCAUUCG